GCAAUGGGCAAGCUCCGGGCCACAGUGCGCUUGCGCAGAAGGUGCCACGGUCCGGGGAGGGGCGGAGCCUGAGGAGCUUAGACUGAGGUGAUAAGGAAAAUACGGAAAGGAUCUGGAUGGCUGUCAGCUCUGGCUCCGCCGGGAGAGAGGAAAUGGGCCAGCUCGGUGUUCAAGAGCUGAUGCUUUGGAGGUCCCAGUGUUCUGACACCGCAUGCCUAUGUGGCUUUGGCAUCUAGAAUAUAGACUCCUGAGAGUCCUUUGGACAGCAAGGAGAUCAAACCAGUCAAUCCUAAAGGAAAUCAACCCUGAAUAUUCAUUGGAAGGACUGAUGCUGAAGCUCCAACACUUUGGCCACCUGAUGCAAAGAGCCAACUCACUGGAAAAGACCCUGAUGCUGGGAAGGAUUGAGGGCAGGAGGAGAAGGGGAUGACAGAAGAUGAGAUGCUUGGACAGCAGCACCAACUCAGUGGAUUUAAGUUUGAGCAAACUCUGGGAGAUAGUGAAGGACAGGAAAGCCUGAUGUGCUACAGUCCAAGGGGUGCAAAGAAUCGGACACGACUUAGUGAUUGAACAACAACAAAGUGUAGAACGACAUAGUAAAAGUGAGGGGUGAAUAUCUUUGGGCUAAGCAAGGUUUCAGUGCCUGCUGCAGAAAUAUAGAGGUUGGUUUUGCUUUUCUGAAAAUAAACUCACACUAUAUAUUUUUGGCA
Bos indicus x Bos taurus (hybrid cattle) is the source of this 710-nucleotide long non-coding RNA. The record is from Ensembl. NCBI's taxonomy places the organism in Eukaryota, Metazoa, Chordata, Mammalia, Artiodactyla, Bovidae.